Molecule: ribosomal RNA, 596 nt
Filed under: Enterococcus faecalis
Lineage: Bacteria; Bacillati; Bacillota; Bacilli; Lactobacillales; Enterococcaceae
Description: bacterial SSU rRNA
Rfam family: Bacterial small subunit ribosomal RNA
Source: RNAcentral
CCCGAGUGCUUGCACUCAAUUGGAAAGAGGAGUGGCGGACGGGUGAGUAACACGUGGGUAACCUACCCAUCAGAGGGGGAUAACACUUGGAAACAGGUGCUAAUACCGCAUAACAGUUUAUGCCGCAUGGCAUAAGAGUGAAAGGCGCUUUCGGGUGUCGCUGAUGGAUGGACCCGCGGUGCAUUAGCUAGUUGGUGAGGUAACGGCUCACCAAGGCCACGAUGCAUAGCCGACCUGAGAGGGUGAUCGGCCACACUGGGACUGAGACACGGCCCAGACUCCUACGGGAGGCAGCAGUAGGGAAUCUUCGGCAAUGGACGAAAGUCUGACCGAGCAACGCCGCGUGAGUGAAGAAGGUUUUCGGAUCGUAAAACUCUGUUGUUAGAGAAGAACAAGGACGUUAGUAACUGAACGUCCCCUGACGGUAUCUAACCAGAAAGCCACGGCUAACUACGUGCCAGCAGCCGCGGUAAUACGUAGGUGGCAAGCGUUGUCCGGAUUUAUUGGGCGUAAAGCGAGCGCAGGCGGUUUCUUAAGUCUGAUGUGAAAGCCCCCGGCUCAACCGGGGAGGGUCAUUGGAAACUGGGAGACUUGAG